CGUCUCCUGUCUCUCUGUGUCCUUCACCCUCACUCUCUCUCAUCUCCAGGCUGACCCGUGUCGGUCUCACAGAUUCUGGUGCCGAGGAUCUCGUCUCCGCUCUCAGUACAAACCCAUCACUGACCGAUCUGAACCUGAGUGGUAAUAAACUGGGGGAUUCAGGAGUGAAACUGGUGUCUGCGGCUCUGAGGAACCCGGAGUGUAAAAUACAGAGACUGGGGCUGAGGAAUGUCGGUCUCACAGAUUCUGGUGCCGAGGAUCUUGUCUCCGCUCUCAGUACAAACCCAUCACUGACGGUGCUGAACCUGGGAUCAAACUCUCUGACAGACCGAUCUGUCCCCGCUCUCCGCCGCCUCAUACUGACCCUCCCGAGUCUGAAGUGGAUCUGGCUGGGGGGGAAUCGGUUCAGUGAGACCGGGAGGAAGGAACUGAGAUCUCUACAGGAACCCAGACCCGGACUGAUGGUGGAUCUGUGAACAUCUGAAUGUGGUGAAUCGGUUCAGUGAGACCGGGAUGAAGGAACUGAGAUCUCUACAGGAACCCAGACCCGGACUGAUGGUGGAUCUGUGAACAUCUGAAUGUGGUGAAUCGGUUCAGUGAGACCGGGAUGAAGGAACUGAGAUCUCUACAGGAACCCAGACCCGGACUGAUGGUGGAUCUGAAUGUGUGAACAUCCCCGCCCGCGGGAUGGGGACAUUUGGCCGACUCCCCGCCCUCCCCUUUAACUCCCGCCCUUACCUUUAA
Hypanus sabinus (Atlantic stingray) is the source of this 744-nucleotide long non-coding RNA. RefSeq lists it as uncharacterized. The record is from RefSeq and is a predicted model, not a curated record. NCBI's taxonomy places the organism in Eukaryota, Metazoa, Chordata, Chondrichthyes, Myliobatiformes, Dasyatidae. The transcript is spliced from 3 exons.